GCCGAGGUGUUGGAACGGUAGACAAGUGCGUCUCAAAAACGCAUGACCGCAAGGUCGUGAGAGUUCGAUUCUCUCCCUCGGCACCA
This 86-nucleotide transfer RNA is filed under the name Candidatus Curtissbacteria bacterium. RNAcentral describes it as "tRNA-Leu". It matches the Rfam family "tRNA". Rfam says of the family: Transfer RNA (tRNA) molecules are approximately 80 nucleotides in length. Lineage: Bacteria; Candidatus Curtissiibacteriota. The record is from RNAcentral.